This 211-nucleotide ribosomal RNA is filed under the name Clostridiales bacterium. RNAcentral describes it as "partial 23S ribosomal RNA". It matches the Rfam family "Bacterial large subunit ribosomal RNA", at positions 2716 to 2925 of the family's 2925-position model. The record is from RNAcentral. Lineage: Bacteria; Bacillati; Bacillota; Clostridia; Eubacteriales.
ACCAGUUGUCAUGCCAAUGGCACAGCUGGGUAGUUACGUUCGGAAGGGAUAAACGCUGAAGGCAUCUAAGCGUGAAGCCCCCCUUAAGAUUAGAUUUCCCAUUAGUUAAACUAAGUAAGAUCCCUUAUAGACUAUGAGGUUGAUAGGUUGGAGGUGUAAGCACCGCGAGGUGUUUAGCUGACCAAUACUAAUAGAUCGAGGGCUUAAUCUA